GCCAAGAAGACAGCGCAGGCUUAUCUCAAGGUGAAUGCCCGAAAAUGCUAGCACGGACAAGAGCUUCCCAACUACUUUCUGAAGGAGGCAAAAGCUGCAAAGCCGUUGGAGCAAGGACAGUUAUCGGUGACAACGACAUCAAGGACGCGCUGAGCACGUGCCAUGGAGAGAAAAGACAGCUCUACCCCUCCAUCUUUGUCCCUUAUAAAUAACACAUCUGUAAUAGAAUUGAGGACCGA
This 239-nucleotide long non-coding RNA is filed under the name Salvia miltiorrhiza (redroot sage). RNAcentral describes it as "long non-coding RNA (SMIL_LNC011821)". Lineage: Eukaryota; Viridiplantae; Streptophyta; Magnoliopsida; Lamiales; Lamiaceae. The record is from RNAcentral.